GCCGGGCACAAGCUUAGCUCCUGGCUCAUCGACCGAUCUGCGAUACGACUUUUUCAGUGGUUAACAAUAGUAAUAGGUCCCUCCACUCGACCUUUUUUAAUGUAUAUAAAAAGCUAAGAUGUGAGCUUUUUUUUCUGGACAUUUAAAGUUGAGUUCACAUGAGACCGAACCAAAACAUGAAUCUGGCUAUAAUAAAGCGACGUGUAUAUGUAAUAUAUAUAAGUCUUUGUCCUCUCCACUUUAUUCUAUAUGAAAUGCAUGUGGCCGUUGCUCCA
Molecule: long non-coding RNA, 275 nt
Organism: Arabidopsis thaliana (thale cress)
Lineage: Eukaryota; Viridiplantae; Streptophyta; Magnoliopsida; Brassicales; Brassicaceae
Product: other RNA
Exons: 1
Source: RefSeq